RNA transcript from Pyrus x bretschneideri (Chinese white pear), 1360 nucleotides. RefSeq lists it as uncharacterized. NCBI's taxonomy places the organism in Eukaryota, Viridiplantae, Streptophyta, Magnoliopsida, Rosales, Rosaceae. The transcript is spliced from 3 exons. The record is from RefSeq and is a predicted model, not a curated record.
UUCUGCUUUGCUUUCAGCUGCUCUACUAUGGACGAUUCCACCCUACUCAGCCCACACCCGGCGGGCCCACUACUCCCGUCAAGCAAGCUCGGCCGCAGAAACUCCAUUUCCACAUCCGUGGUGGUCCCCGCCAAGCUCAGCCUCCUCUCCGACACCACCACUCCCACCUCAGCGACCAAGCAUCUCCAGCGCCUCCACAGCUCCACCUUCCCAAACGGCGACGUUUCGCCCCCAGCACCGCCUCAACUGGACCUGGAGUUCCUCUCCCUCAAGAGCUCCGAAUCCUACACUUCUCUCAAAGACCUGCUCCCCUCCUCCGCCGUUAACUCCCCCACCGCCGCCUCCGCCAACAACUCCGGCUACGAAAUCUCCAUCCGCAACCGCCUCGUGAAGCAGGCCGCCUGGGCCUACCUCCAGCCCAUGUCCUCCACCUCCGGCCCAUCGGGCCCAAACUUCCUCCGCCGCCUCUGCCAAAAGCUCUCCCCCUGCCUCUCCUUCUUCACCAACCGCGUCGUCCCCUUCCUCUCCCGAGUUCUCGGCCGCACACUCCUCUAACGCCUGAGCCGGAGCUUCUCAGUCAACUCGUCAACCUGCCCACCAUCCGUUUGAUGUCGGGGAUGAACCACCUUGGGGGACCUCGGAGUCUCAGACAUAGCGCGGUUGAUUGUGGUGGCUCUGCCAUUUGGUGUUGCUGUUGGGGAUUCUGGCUGCCACUUGUUCUUCCCGCUCGGUUUACGUACCGGCGGUGCUGGCGCUGCUGUAUCCUGCUGAUCAUCAUCGACUGUCUGCGACUGCGAGGUAAACAAACGACUGAACGUGCGGUCAAGGAUUCUGGGGCAGACAUACUAAACUUCGACCGAUACUAGCAAAACCCGAGAAUUGUAUUGCAUUGUGAAUGCGGCGUACCUCGGUGGUGGGUUUGGUGGCGAACUUUGUGGAGUUAGCAGCCAUGUACCGAAGGGCUUGGAGGAAAGCAGCGUGGCCAUAUUGGGCGAAGUUCUGCCAGUAGAGUACCGUCAAAUCCCAGGCUCUUGCUCUCAUCUCCAGUAACUUCCUGUCUAUGUCUGUCUCAUGCUUUGCUACAUAUGGCCUCAGGAAGGUCUUGUACACAAAGAAAGUUCCCUGCAACCGCAUUUCAAACGCCAUUCCAAUGAGUCAAAUUGAAAAUCCGUGCAACCGUCUUUAUGUUGUCAGACUGUGAAUGUGGACCUCUAAUCAGGUUAAUUGUUAUCUUAAUGUUCGUGUAGUCGGUCGGUCUUAUAGUCUGCUAGCAUAAGUCUAGCACAACGUUUGCACAUUUCAAAUUGUCAUGUUAUGUUGUCAGACUAUGAAUAUAAGUAUUGCCUAAAUAUUGAUGGAA